This 377-nucleotide ribosomal RNA is filed under the name Acanthamoeba sp. S1.JDP. Its description in RNAcentral is "SSU rRNA". It matches the Rfam family "Eukaryotic small subunit ribosomal RNA", at positions 762 to 1096 of the family's 1831-position model. The record is from RNAcentral. Lineage: Eukaryota; Discosea; Longamoebia; Acanthamoebidae. RNAcentral also lists the same sequence under 2 other names.
AAAAUUAGAGUGUUCAAAGCGGGCAGAUAUUUUUCCUGCCACCGAAUACAUUAGCAUGGGAUAAUGGAAUAGGACCCUGACCUCCUAUUUUCAGUUGGUUUUGUUUACAGCGAGGUUAUAUCAGGGUAAUGAUUAAUAGGGAUAGUUGGGGGCAUUAAUAUUUAAUUGUCAGAGGUGAAAUUCUUGGAUUUAUGAAAGAUUAACUUCUGCGAAAGCGUUUGCCAAGGAUGUUUUCAUUAAUCAAGAACGAAAGUUAGGGGAUCGAAGACGAUCAGAUACCGUCGUAGUCUUAACCAUAAACGAUGCCGACCAGCGAUUAGGAGACGUUGAAUACAAAACACCGCCGUUAAUCCUUUCGGGGGUUAAUGGUUGGUGAA